GUGGGGAAUCUUCCGCAAUGGACGAAAGUCUGACGGAGCAACGCCGCGUGAGUGAUGAAGGCCUUCGGGUUGUAAAGCUCUGUUAAUCGGGACGAAAGAGCGCUGUGCGAAUAGUGCAGCGAAGUGACGGUACCGGAAUAGAAAGCCAUGGCUAACUACGUGCCAGCAGCCGCGGUAAUACGUAGGUGGCAAGCGUUGUCCGGAAUUAUUGGGCGUAAAGCGCGCGCAGGCGGAUCUGUAAGUCUGUCUUAAAAGUUCGGGGCUCAACCCCGUGAGGGGAUAGAAACUGCAGAUCUUGAGUAUCGGAGAGGAAAGUGGAAUUCCUAGUGUAGCGGUGAAAUGCGUAGAUAUUAGGAAGAACACCAGUGGCGAAGGCGACUUUCUGGACGAAAACUGACGCUGAGGCGCGAAAGCCAGGGGAGCGAACGGGAUUAGAAACCCUAGUAGUCC
Molecule: ribosomal RNA, 450 nt
Filed under: uncultured bacterium
Lineage: Bacteria
Description: partial 16S ribosomal RNA
Rfam family: Bacterial small subunit ribosomal RNA
Source: RNAcentral